UUUGGACCAACAUUCAUUGACAACGAAGAAUGAGGAAAACUGUAUCAAUAACACUCCCUCAGAGGUUUCGUCGACCGUUAGUCAAAAUGAGGGAAACGAUUCUUUAUCAAGAGCGUACUUUCAUCUUGCAAGGCUCAAGAGAUUAGUGUCUGCGACCAAAGAAGUUGCUUCAUGGUAAUAAUCCUUAUAUAAGAAUAUUAAGUUCUGUAAGUAAGAGCGACUAAGCGAGCUUAUAAUAUUAUAUUCCCGUUAAAAUGCAAUGAUUAUUGAGUAAAACGUGGCUACGGGAUUCAUCUCAGGAUUGAGUACGAAUUGAUGUAAUAACUCUUUGAAGAAACAAUUUGGUGAAAAAGAACUCUUCGUAUUAAGAUUGAUUAUCAUCAUUUUACCAUCAAAA
Molecule: long non-coding RNA, 397 nt
Organism: Xenia sp. Carnegie-2017
Lineage: Eukaryota; Metazoa; Cnidaria; Anthozoa; Malacalcyonacea; Xeniidae
Exons: 3
Source: RefSeq, a predicted model, not a curated record